Long non-coding RNA from Dioscorea cayenensis subsp. rotundata (Guinea yam), 212 nucleotides. RefSeq lists it as uncharacterized. Lineage: Eukaryota; Viridiplantae; Streptophyta; Magnoliopsida; Dioscoreales; Dioscoreaceae. The record is from RefSeq and is a predicted model, not a curated record. The transcript has 3 exons.
GAAAAUUUUGAGCCUUUUCUGGUGGCGAAGCGUCCUCCAAGGGGAAGGAGCUCGCCGAUCAGUGAGUGCGUCUCAGGACGAGACGACUGGUUCUACUGCGACGUUGGACAGAGUUGUGCUGUGCAGCAGUAGAGUGGUCUAUCUGUACUUCUUGUUUAGGUUUGUUAUAGUAUGCAUGACCCUUUAUGGAUCCACUAGACUUGACCUUAUAU